AUACGGAGGGUGCAAGCGUUAUUCGGAAUCACUGGGCGUAAAGGACGCGUAGGCGGGUUGGCAAGUCAGAUGUGAAAUCCUACAGCUUAACUGUAGAACUGCAUUUGAAACUGCUAACCUAGAGUAUGGGAGGGGGAGAUGGAAUUAGUGGUGUAGGGGUAAAAUCCGUAGAUAUCACUAGGAAUACCGAGAGCGAAGGCGAUCUCCUGGAACAUAACUGACGCUAAGGCGUGAAAGCGUGGGGAGCAAACAGGAUUAGAAACCCUAGUAGUCC
RNAcentral lists this ribosomal RNA (274 nucleotides) under uncultured bacterium. RNAcentral's name for it is "partial 16S ribosomal RNA". It matches the Rfam family "Bacterial small subunit ribosomal RNA", at positions 523 to 796 of the family's 1533-position model. The record is from RNAcentral.